Non-coding RNA from Macrostomum lignano, 114 nucleotides. NCBI's taxonomy places the organism in Eukaryota, Metazoa, Platyhelminthes, Macrostomidae. The record is from Rfam.
GUAGGGUACGGCGACAUGCUACCGGUGACGGUCUGGGGCAAGCUGGUGGGGUCCCUGUGCGCCAUAGCUGGCGUGCUGACCAUUGCCCUGCCCGUGCCGGUGAUCGUGUCAAAC